Molecule: long non-coding RNA, 460 nt
Filed under: Brassica napus (rape)
Lineage: Eukaryota; Viridiplantae; Streptophyta; Magnoliopsida; Brassicales; Brassicaceae
Description: long non-coding RNA (BNAP_LNC016864)
Source: RNAcentral
UGCGAAGUGAUUUAUACACAUGUCGUUACUACAAUCAUUCUCGCUAAAAAAAAAAGACAUGACACUUAAAAUAGAUGACAUAGUUUUAGAAAACAGUGACAUGACAUCAUAUUAAUUGUGAGAUGUAAAAUUUCCUUAUAAAAAUUUAAAUUUUUUUGCAAGAAUUUUAAAUAUGAUAAUAAAAAUAAGGGCAAAUCUUCAAAAUAGCACAUUUCUAAGUUUAUAUCACAAAAAUAUCAAUCAAAAACUAAAAUGAUCAAAAUAGUACUUUUCUAAGUUUAUCCUUUGAAAAUUUUAAUUUUUUUAUUUUUCAAAAUUUGAAAUCUUAUCCCCAAAACCUCAUUUCUCAACUCUAAACCCUAAACCCUAAACUCUAAACCCUAAGUCCUAAACCCUAAACCCUAAACCCUAAACCCUAAACCCUAAACCUUAAACUCUAAACCCUAAACCCUAAACUCUA